Molecule: long non-coding RNA, 4228 nt
Organism: Pteropus alecto (black flying fox)
Lineage: Eukaryota; Metazoa; Chordata; Mammalia; Chiroptera; Pteropodidae
Exons: 4
Source: RefSeq, a predicted model, not a curated record
AACACAGAGUGUCUUUGUCACCUUCCCUUGCUUCACAGACCUCAAGAGGACUUACCACCUCCAUUUCUGCCUGCAGCUGUACCUUUCUGCCCAAGUAGCAACACAAAAUCAGCAUCUUUAAUUCUCAUUUCCUAUCUAACACUCCUUUCUCACCAUUCCUCUCUUUGGAAAUCUCAGUUCCCUUUCUAGGGAAAGGGUAUGAGUGUGUAAGAAGGAGGAUAAGGGAGGGGGGUAAGGUAGAAGGGGAACACAUGGCCAGUCACUCCCUCAACUCAACACCGAGUAGAGUAAUUGCUUCUAUACAUGGAACUCGUACAUGGCGCACGCGAUCAUUGUUUUGCACACUUACUUAAUCCUCCCAACAGCCCCCGUAGAGGCAGGCACUAUCCCUAUUUUGCAGGUGAGGAGACAGACUCAAAGAAGUUGCUUGAGUUCAUACUGCUAGUUCCUGGACUUAGUUCGACUUGAAGCAUCCAAGAACCAUACUACAAAUAGCAGAGCCAGCCUCCAAGCCCAGAAUGCGCAUCCCCAAGGUGGCACUCCCUGUACCCGCCUUCGACUUCCGCCCUCUAGUCAACUUUAGGACAGGAGUAGACAUCUUCAUGCUUGCAACAGCUUUAUGUGCAGCUGCCUGGAGUUCUAGUCUAAAAACUCCCUCAGCUUUGGGCCUUCACACAGGAAAGAGCAAGAGAAGGAAAUGAGCCCAGAGUCAACAGGAAGAGGGAAGGGAAGGCGGUGAGGAGACCAUGUGUCUCCAGGCUACAGGUGAGACAGGCACGGGGCUGGAACCUGGGCACCCCGAGUUCCAGUACCAGCUCCCUCCCUGCCUGAGGGGCCUUCAGUCUAUACCAGAGGCUACAAACAGGCAUUCUGCUGGUUGGCAUCCAACCUGCAGGUCUGUUUCUUCGAUCCUUAGAGCAUUUUUAAAUAAUGGAAUUAGUUUCCAAUAUUUAAAUUGGAAAGUUGCAUGUAAAAUUUGGAUUUGGAGCUUCUGAAAACCGAGGGACUGACGCUGGUCCUCAUUUCUAAAGGAUAACAUUCAGGGGGAGCCAAGUGCAGCCGCCGCUGAGCAGGGCAGGCGUGUGCUCGACCGUUCGCAGAACCUGUGUUGGUCACUGAAACGCUGGCUGGGCUCCUGUUUUCAGUUUGGACUCUUGGUCUUGACUAUAGCGUGAAUGAUCUUUCCAUGUUCUCUUCUUCCACAUAAAAGGAAAGAGAGGGAACUGGAAAGUGUGCCAAAAGACAGAGCAGGCACUGUAAUUAUCCGUCAAGGGAGAAAAGUUGAACUAGUCCAGGCCUGAAACCACUUGCAUACGUUGGCUCAGAUGCCUUCACUCAGGGACGGCUGUUCACUUGGGGGUUGGGAGGUAAGAGUGUGUGUGAGAAGAACUGUUAUGUUAAGUCGUUGCCCAAAAUCUUUCUCGUGUUGGGGUACAUUGCUGUUUAUCAAGGAAUCCCUUCUAGAGCAUAUACGGGGAGUCAGGGCACCCCCCACGCCUGCCCUGCCUCGUGCCCCGCCCCUUUCACAGAGCAGCCGCUGAAGAAGAAGACGGGCCAGGACUCUUGUAUGGCAGGAGCUGCAGGCUGCUGGCCUUGGGGUGUCUUCCUGCCUGGCCAUCGGCAGCGGGAGGAGCCACAGCUUCCGAGGAGCUGGAGCUACAGCGUCAGGAAGUUUCACAACUUCUAGGGUAGGGACGUUUUAAGUCUUAUUGCUAAACACGGGGGCUGAUACUCUGCCCCAGUUAGUCAUGAGGCGAAGGCUCGUUCAAAGGGCGUGUGUACUCAGUGAUUCUGAGGAGGGCUGGGAAGGCCAGGACGCAGGAAGGGACACACCUUCCUCUCCAACAGUGCUGUGUAAUGAGGAUUGAGCUGCUCCCUCUGCCGGGUUCCACCACUGCCUGUGUGGCCUCGGAAAUGCCGAAUUCCCGGGACCUCAGUUAUUUCUUAUGUAAAUGGGGAAAUCCUGCCAUGAGGGCUGGUUCCAUGCCUCUUUAGUAGUUUACUGCUAGCCUCCCCCCUUGGGUGGUCCUUCUCUGCACAGAGGGUGUCAGUGGUUAACCAGUCCAGAAAUACAUCUCUAAGUAGCUCUUCUCGCUUGAGAUUAUAGUAAUGUGCUGUCUCUUGAAAGUUCCUACUGACAGCUCUAAGCAGAGCACAUGUUUUGAGUUGUUCUUCCAACACUGGAGAUAAGAUUUAUGCUAUGAACACCCAUUUUCACCACUGGGCCCUUUGGUGUGUCUGCGGCACUGUCAGGAAAUAAGCUGACAGAAUCAAAGGGCUGUGUCCUCAAUUGUCAGCUGAGCUCUGAGCUAAUCAGAAAGAUGACUCUUGCUGCAAAAAUCUGCAUUUUCAAGGCUCCUACUUUUCAAGAGAGCUACCUUAGUUAGCUCACGGCCAAGGAAUGAGAAUGAAUUCCAGUGGGGUGUGUGCUGUAUAGACCAGUUGUGCUUAUUCAUUCAGAUGAGAUAUGGGAGGCCCCAGAGCCUGCCCAUAGGGGCUGACUGGCCUAGGACAGUUGGAUGACCCCCACAUAAGCUAGGUGCUGCUCCAAAAGGAAAAUGCUCAGGAGGAGGGAGCUGACACUCACUGAGCAUCGGCUCUGUGUCAGGCACCAGGCGAGGAUCUUCAUGCAGCAGGCGACUCCCCCUAGAAUCCUUAGGAACGGAACACUGUCAUCCCCAUUUUACAGACGAAGCAGCUCGGGCUUAAAGAGUCAGUCAUCUCAACUCACUAGCGGACAAAAAUAAAAGUGGCUCCGAAGAGAGGAGGAAAGAAGAAAUGCCUUCGCUGAAACCGAUUAUCGGUUGCGCUCCUGUAUGCGCACCUCGGCGCUAAGGAUGUGGAUACGAGGCAGAGGAAGAUGCUGACCCUGCUUAAGGAACUCACGGUGUAGUCAAGGAGACCAGCCCGUAAACACUGGGCGCAGCAGACAGGCGAACCGUUUUUCUCCUUAUGUCUAUCCACCCUCCUGCCCAGUCUUUACAUCUCACGGCUCCCUCUGGCCAUGAGAGGUUAAAAGUUACCAGGUUGGCGCCUGAGUUUGCUUGGGAAAUUCCUGGAUUCCAGGAACCCCUGCCCAGCAAUUCCUACCCGGAAAGUCCCACGGAGGUGCCUCCUCUCCCAUUUCCAGUGAGGCAUCCCCGGUGUGACCCUCGCCUCAGUCCCAGCUCUGGCCCAGCUCCUCCCCCCUGCACAGCAGCACGACCCUUCUCUCUGUCUUCUCUGUUCUCCACGAGCGUCCCCUGCUCUUCAUUUCUCCAGGCUGCCCCCAGACCAAGGCCAGUGAAAACACAUGCGGAAACCUUGUUCCAAUUCUCGGUAUCAAGCUAGCGCUUCCUGAGUGGGAAACAUCGAGCCUCUGAGAGUCUAGCCAAGGCCUAGGCUGACUGGAAGUCCCCUCCCUGCCAGCAAUUCGGAGAUCUGAUAAACUCCAUCUGGGAAGGAAGUGGGGAGUGGAGGGAUCUCCCUAGAGAAUGCUAAUGCCUGAGAGAUUCGAAGUCUCUAAGAGGUAGAGACCAAGACAUGACAGCUACACACAGGGAUCAACUCAGCUGUGAACAUCUUAUAAAGAACAACCUAGCGCUUACCAAGACUGCCUGAUAAGGGGAGCAUGACUUCAAGAAGUUAAGAAACUAACCUAAGGGGAACCACGUAAGGAAAGAUGGAAGGUCAGGACUCGAGCCUCAUUCCGCUCAUUUCAACACCGAUGCUUUCAACCACUGCAGAAUUCUGCAGCCCCUGAGGUCAAAGACUAUGUCUUGUUUGUCUAUAUCUUCCCGAUGCUUGGCAAACAGCUGACACACGAUAAAUGUUUGUUGAAUGAGUAAGUGGAUAGAUGAGAUGUGUUUGCCAUUAAGGAUGAUGGGCUUGACCUCCAUACCAUUAUACUCCUUCCUGCCCUGUCCUCGCCCUCUCUCCCUCCCUCAGCCUUGCACGAGCAGAAUCCUAUCAGCAUCUGCCCUGACUUCUCGGCCUGGGCUGUCCCGGGAUCACAUCAUACCCUUCUCAGAGCUAAAUCAGAAACCUUCCUCGACCUUAGGCAGCAAUCACGUUGAGAGGCAGAAGCAGGGGAGCCGGAACAGCUUCCUUGAGAGGUUUAGCGCAGACCGAGACCCAGAGGUGGGAGGGCGAGGACACGGGUCCUACAGCCUGAUUUCCUUCAAGGACCCUCCAGCUGUCCCGUUGUACCCAGGGAAGCCAGUCAGUCCAGGUCGGCUGCUCAGCGACU